RNAcentral lists this ribosomal RNA (506 nucleotides) under uncultured bacterium. Its description in RNAcentral is "bacterial SSU rRNA". It matches the Rfam family "Bacterial small subunit ribosomal RNA", at positions 14 to 507 of the family's 1533-position model. The record is from RNAcentral.
GAAUCAUGGCUCAGGAUGAACGCUAGCUACAGGCUUAACACAUGCAAGUCGAGGGGAAACGACAUCGAAAGCUUGCUUUUGAUGGGCGUCGACCGGCGCACGGGUGAGUAACGCGUAUCCAACCUGCCCACCACUUGGGGAUAACCUUGCGAAAGUAAGACUAAUACCCAAUGACGUCUCUAGAAGACAUCUGAAAGAGAUUAAAGAUUUAUCGGUGAUGGAUGGGGAUGCGUCUGAUUAGCUUGUUGGUGGGGUAACGGCCCACCAAGGCGACGAUCAGUAGGGGUUCUGAGAGGAAGGUCCCCCACAUUGGAACUGAGACACGGUCCAAACUCCUACGGGAGGCAGCAGUGAGGAAUAUUGGUCAAUGGGCGAGAGCCUGAACCAGCCAAGUAGCGUGCAGGACGACGGCCCUAUGGGUUGUAAACUGCUUUUAUAAGGGAAUAAAGUGAGUCUCGUGAGACUUUUUGCAUGUACCUUAUGAAUAAGGACCGGCUAAUUCCGUG